Molecule: long non-coding RNA, 632 nt
Organism: Salvelinus sp. IW2-2015
Lineage: Eukaryota; Metazoa; Chordata; Actinopteri; Salmoniformes; Salmonidae
Source: RefSeq, a predicted model, not a curated record
AUACACCUUUUUCGGUUGUAGUUCGCCAUUAAACCAACAGAAGAAGAGGAGUCACAGAAAUGAUGGCGAACAAAACCUGUCCUGUGGCUCCCUCUCCUGGAUCAAGAGAGAACGACUCAAUCUUCAUGCCGMCCACAACACGGCUCAUAUCAAGGUUGACAGUUAUCACGGGCUACAUUUCUCCUGACUCAGGCUGUUGGAAAGGCUCUGGUUGCCAGUGGAGCUCCUAAACGCUCCAUCAUUACUGUGGGCAAGGUGGGCAAUAUUGAAAAGGCGAACUACUCUGCUUCCAAAGCAGUUGUGGAGGGCCUGACCAGAACUGCAGCCAACUAGCUGAGCAGCUUACGUCCAUGGUGCCACUGGGGAGGAUGGGAGAGCCUGCAGAGGAAGCUGAUGGAUCCUAAUGCAUAUUUCCAGUAGAGGACUCUGGCUACAUCACUGGAACCAGUAUUGAAGUAACAGAGGCCUUUUCAUUGGCUGAGACAACUUUCCAUCAUCCUCAUGAAGAUCCCAUCUAGGUCCAGUAAUUGUAUAUUGAUUCAACGUUCACACUGUGCCUUCGCGUGUGAUAAUACAACUGAUUGGGGAUUAAUCUUGUUUUGUAAAUCUAGUCAAUAUCUUACAGUGUAAAU